Gossypium raimondii (Peruvian cotton) is the source of this 1145-nucleotide RNA transcript. RefSeq lists it as uncharacterized. The transcript is spliced from 6 exons. The record is from RefSeq and is a predicted model, not a curated record. NCBI's taxonomy places the organism in Eukaryota, Viridiplantae, Streptophyta, Magnoliopsida, Malvales, Malvaceae.
CCCAAAAUCGAUUCCCCCCACCCCCAGAAAUCCCGCCUGAAAUCUCUUCUUCUUUUUUCCCCAUUUUAUUUUUUCCCAAACUAUAUUGUUGCAAACUCGUAAGAAGAUUCAAAAGAAAUUGAAGAUAAGAGGAUACAGCUUGAAGACGGAUGGUCUUGAUGAGAUUCUCUCCUUCGUCAAUCGCUUCCAAGAUGCUGAAGAUGAGGCUAUUGAUCUCCUCCUCGACUAGCUCGAUCACCAAUCCUUAUUUUUUUAAUUGUAAGCAGUGAAUUCUUCCAUAAUCGACAAGGAGGCGGUGCACCAAGUAGUCAGUCUUCUAUUGGAUGCUGGAGCAGCUGAGGAAGAGAUCUGUUUGUAUAUGCGGAUGUAAUUCUUGCAGAAAUCUCCUUGUUGGAAAUCCAGAGACUUAAUUCGUUACGGAACACUUUGAUAAUUAGUAAAAGCAAGUAUAAAAUUUCGGAGGAGCUUGGAGAUGGUACCUGUGGUAGUGUGUUCAAAGCCUUCAAUAUAGAAACAUUUGAGAUUACGGAGAAAGCAAUUCUCAAACAACCCAAGGUGUUUUUAAGAAUGUGAAAAGCCAAUGAAGCAAGGAGUUCUCACUACUGGACGUGUUCGUCUUCUGCUUCACAGAGGUCUGUGGACUUUGAAAUAUUUUUCAAAGGCUAUAUAUUAUCUGGAAAAGGGGGAAUCUGUUUUUGUGGCGACACAUACAUCUGCUGGAAAGACAGUUGUAGCAGAAUAUGCAUUUGCUUUGGCAUCAAAAUUACAUUAGUUAUUUUGGUUUUUUGCUUGUAAAUCUAUAGAUUUUUUGAUUUUUUGUUAGCUGGAGAUGUGACAAAUUGCUCACAUUGAUUAAGAACCUCAGGCCAUAUCUUUUUUAUUUUCAAGUUUCUGAAUUUCUAUGCUGAAUUUGGUUUAGUUUCAAGAUUUUUGAUAAGUUUUCAUGUUAUGCAGCAUUGCACUAGAGCUGUGUAUACUGCUCCAAUUAAAACAAUCAGCAACCAGAUGUAUAGAGAUUUCUGUGGGAAGUUUGAUGUUGGCCUUCUCACAGGUGAUGUUAGUUUGAGACCAGAGGCUUCUUGUCUCAUCAUGACAACUGAAUUGUUAAGGUCAAUGCUUUAUAUAGGUGCAGAUAUUAUUCGCGA